CAAUAGCGUAUAUUAAAGUUGUUGCAGUUAAAAGCUCGUAGUUGGAUUUCUGGGAGGGUGCCAAUGUCCGUCGUCGUACGUGUUGCAGCGGCGCCCUUCCAUCCUUCUGUUAACGACUUUGGGCAUUCACUUGCCGGAGUCGGGCUCAGAUAUUUUACCUUGAGAAAAUUAGAGUGUUUCAGGCAGGCUUUCGCCCGGAUACAUUAGCAUGGAAUAAUAGAAUAGGACUUUUGCCUCUUCUGUUGGUCUGAGGGGUCGGAAGUAAUGAUUAAUAGGGAUAGUUGGGGGCGAUUAGUACUUAACUGUCAGAGGUGGAAAUUACUUUGGAGUUUGUUUAAAGAACUAACUUAAUUGCGAAAGACAUUUGUCCAAGG
Molecule: ribosomal RNA, 374 nt
Filed under: uncultured eukaryote
Lineage: Eukaryota
Description: bacterial SSU rRNA
Rfam family: Eukaryotic small subunit ribosomal RNA
Source: RNAcentral